AAUAGAAGGGCAAAUCGCAGUGAGAAAGUAGUAAGGAGCAGCCUGAGGUGAAAAAGGAUUGUUUUCUAUGUGGUGGAUCUCACUUUGCCCAUGAGUGUCCCAAUCGUGGCAAGCCGAUGCCAUUGUUUCCUCCUACAAGGGACACCUCAACAAGGAGAAGGUGCACAGUGUCACGAGCCCAAGUAUUAGCACUCGGGACCUUGUGAUAUUUGGUUUGAACUCUUUCAAGACAAGUCAAUCAUAAGAAUCUCAUAAUAAUUUGUAGAUCAAAAU
This 273-nucleotide unclassified non-coding RNA is filed under the name Hevea brasiliensis (rubber tree). The record is from RNAcentral. Lineage: Eukaryota; Viridiplantae; Streptophyta; Magnoliopsida; Malpighiales; Euphorbiaceae.